Molecule: transfer RNA, 73 nt
Filed under: Ailuropoda melanoleuca (giant panda)
Lineage: Eukaryota; Metazoa; Chordata; Mammalia; Carnivora; Ursidae
Rfam family: tRNA
About the family: Transfer RNA (tRNA) molecules are approximately 80 nucleotides in length. Their secondary structure includes four short double-helical elements and three loops (D, anti-codon, and T loops).
Source: Rfam by way of RNAcentral
ACCUGGCUGGCUUAGUUAGUAGAGCAAGUGACUCUUGAUCUCAGGGUCAUGAGUCCGAGCCCCAUGUUGGGUG